UCAUCUGUAAAUUAAAGCAAUAACUUAUCUAAAGAAAUGGAGCCAGGAAAAAUGCGUGCGCAACAGGAGGAAGGGACAUGGCACAUCUUCAUGCAUGCUUUAUUAAAAUGUCCACUGUGGGGCCUUCUUACAAGGUUCUGUUUCAGAUUUGAAAACCGGGUCAUCUUCAGCUCUGCUUCCAGUGUUAAAAUCAGGACCACGCAGACCUGAAGCCGGGCUCACAUGGAAAUAUUACAGACUGGACAAACCAGCACCAUAGGCUGGGGGAAAAACAUAAAAACCUCAGCAUCAAAACAAAGUCUUCAUCUGCGUAAAAAAAAAAAGUCUCCAUCAGAGAACCUGUCCUUCAUUUACCACCACGCCCAGUGUUUGACUUCAGUUUUAAGUGUCCGACUUCUCGCUUUGUGAAAUGCAUCAGAUACCAGCGAUUAGCAUGCAUCGCUCCUUCAGCAGUAUUUGAGUGGGUGGGAUCAGCAGCCUCAAUCCCGCUCACCAUUCACAGUGUCUGACUGACAGGUAGCAGCAAUCCUCCUGCUGACCAGCAGGUGGGGGGCUGGAGUCAACAAGGUUUGAAAUGUUGGAGUUGGAGAAGGCGGCAGCAGGUCGUCUGUGCAACCACGUCCCCUGCUGCUGUCGCCUCCUGAGGUCAGUCCACACCAGAAUCACAGUGCAAGUCAGCAGAUACCACUAACCAGAUCCCAGCUGGGAAGGCACAGGUGCACUCUGGGUAACCACACACAACCUACACCCUGAACAGAGGAACCAGGUA
This is a long non-coding RNA of Thalassophryne amazonica, 769 nucleotides long. RefSeq lists it as uncharacterized. The transcript is spliced from 2 exons. Lineage: Eukaryota; Metazoa; Chordata; Actinopteri; Batrachoidiformes; Batrachoididae. The record is from RefSeq and is a predicted model, not a curated record.